This 586-nucleotide long non-coding RNA is filed under the name Gallus gallus (chicken). The record is from RNAcentral. Lineage: Eukaryota; Metazoa; Chordata; Aves; Galliformes; Phasianidae.
CAUAGACGACCAGCAGGUACUGCGCGGCGGCGCGGCCGUGGCGGUUGCUGGCGCUGCAGCUGUAGGUGCCGUUGUCGUGGGGGCUGAGGGCCGCCAUGGUCAGCACGGCGCCUUCCGGCCGGGCACGAGGGGGGAGGGAGUCGUUACUGCGGCUCCAUGUGAUGUCUGUGGGGAGUGGGUUCCCGGUGACGGCGCAGGUGAGCACCAACGUGUCGCCCUCCCGCAGGACGCUCUGGGAGGGGUGGAUCCGCGCCGUGGGGGCGUACUGCACGUCCAACAUGUACUGCGUCUGCCUGCGCUGUCCCCCCAGGGCGGGGUGUGUGGCCUCGCAGGUGACGAUGGUGCCGUGGUCGCGCCGCUCCACCCGGAAGCGCACCACGCUGCGCAGGCUGAACACCUUCCCGUGCACCUCCCGCAGCACCGAGCCGUGGAUCUCCCUCUUCUCGCGAUACCAGCGCAGCGUUGCCGGAGGCCGCGACCGCGGCACGGCGCAGCUCAGCUCCACCUCCGCGCCCUCCACGGCCGCCUCCGCCGCCUCCACCACGGGGUUCUCCGGAGGCACCAGCACGGUGAGGGUUGCAAUCUG